AAAAAACCACUGCAAAUAAUCCAGGCAGGCUCCUUAUCUAAACAUCUCAUGCGAGCUAUGCAAGCAGAAAGACUCAGACUAGGUGUCAGACAAAUGGUUAACCACUGUAACUAAGAAUAAUCGUGCUUAAGCUACAUAACCUUUGCUUAAGCCAUAGAAUAGGAAAACUUCCUGCAGUUAUUUCCUUGUAGCUUAACAGUAGAGCAAUAGAAUAGUAACCUCACAACAGAAACAACAAACUAGCCCUUAUAAUGGAACAUAGAUACUAAACUUUAGAAUAGAAUAUAGAAACAUAGACAAUAGAUAAGAUUAAAAUCAGCAGAGCUAAAUAGAAAUAAGAAUUUUAGCACAGGUCAAACAAGAAACUGUAAACAUAAAACAAGAAACUGCAAAAGGACAAAGCAGGA
This is a long non-coding RNA of Pipistrellus kuhlii (Kuhl's pipistrelle), 407 nucleotides long. RefSeq lists it as uncharacterized. The record is from RefSeq and is a predicted model, not a curated record. NCBI's taxonomy places the organism in Eukaryota, Metazoa, Chordata, Mammalia, Chiroptera, Vespertilionidae. The transcript is spliced from 3 exons.